Long non-coding RNA from Bos taurus (domestic cattle), 758 nucleotides. NCBI's taxonomy places the organism in Eukaryota, Metazoa, Chordata, Mammalia, Artiodactyla, Bovidae. The record is from Ensembl.
GCAUUCCUUCAAUCCUGUCCUCCAAGCCAGUGUCCGCAGCUCCCUCUGCCAACCUUCCCCCACCUUCCCCCCACACAAUCAUCAGGGCGGUCCUUCUCAAUUGCAGAUCCAAUCAUGUCACAUCCCUGCUCUGAAUCUGUCAGUAACUUCCCAAGGUAGAUCUCAGUCUCCAGGACACCUGCCAACAAGUUCUGCUCUGCGGGACCUCUGCCUGCUCUGGAGCCUGCUCCAUGAUUGCAGCCUCUGCGGGCUCCUUCCAGUCACCCGCUGGGUCAGGCUCUCACCUCCACACUCUGCCACCUCUGCCUGGAGCCCGCUUUCCAACUCUCCUAGACGGCAGGCAUGCCUCCUUCUCUCUGGAAGCCGUUUCUGAUGACACCAGCCCAUUGUAGGUCCCCAGAGACGAGGAUCCUGUGUCUGUCUGCCUCAGCAUCGUGCCUUCGACAGAGAGCAUGGUAGUCGUUACAUAAGUAUCUCACGGAAGAGUGAAUGCACAGCAACACACCAGGGCAUGGCGGGGAUGGAAUCAAAUGGAUCCUGCAUCUCCUCUCGUCCUGGAGCUGUGUGACCUACUUUGAUGUUUAACACAAACUCACUUUGAGUCCAGUCCUCUGGGGUCUGCAUCUCACUUCCAUCACUUAUGACCUGUGUGACCUUGGGCACAGCGGGUUAGCACUUGGAACUUUGCUUUUCUCACCUUGAGAUUGGAGUUUUUAAUGCCAGCCCCCUACUUCUGUGAGAAUUAGGCAGAGCGAGUC